RNAcentral lists this ribosomal RNA (459 nucleotides) under uncultured bacterium. RNAcentral describes it as "partial 16S ribosomal RNA". It matches the Rfam family "Bacterial small subunit ribosomal RNA", at positions 338 to 795 of the family's 1533-position model. The record is from RNAcentral.
CCUACGGGAGGCAGCAGUGAGGAAUAUUGGUCAAUGGUCGGGAGACUGAACCAGCCAAGCCGCGUGAGGGAGGAAGGUACAGAGUAUCGUAAACCUCUUUUGUCAGGGAACAAAGACUGGGACGCGUCCCCGGAUGAGUGUACCUGAAGAAAAAGCAUCGGCUAACUCCGUGCCAGCAGCCGCGGUAAUACGGAGGCUGCGAGCGUUAUCCGGAUUUAUGGGGUUUAAAGGGUGCGCAGGCGGACUGUUAAGUCAGCGGUCAAAGCCCGGGGCUCAACCCCGGUCCGCCGUUGAAACUGGCAGUCUCGAGUUGGAGAGAAGUAUGCGGAAUGCGCGGUGUAGCGGUGAAAUGCAUAGAUAUCGCGCAGAACUCCGAUUGCGAAGGCAGCAUGCCGGCUCCACACUGACGCUGAGGCACGAAAGCGUGGGUAUCGAACAGGAUUAGAUACCCGAGUAGUC